AGACCCGAAACCCGGUGAUCUAGCCAUGGGCAGGUUGAAGGUUGGGUAACACUAACUGGAGGACCGAACCGACUAAUGUUGAAAAAUUAGCGGAUGACCUGUGGCUGGGGGUGAAAGGCCAAUCAAACCGGGAGAUAGCUGGUUCUCCCCGAAAGCUAUUUAGGUAGCGCCUCGUGAAUUCAUCUCCGGGGGUAGAGCACUGUUUCGGCUAGGGGGCCAUCCCGGCUUACCAACCCGAUGCAAACUGCGAAUACCGGAGAAUGUUAUCACGGGAGACACACGGCGGGUGCUAACGUCCGUCGUGAAGAGGGAAACAACCCAGACCGCCAGCUAAGGUCCCAAAGUCAUGGUUAAGUGGGAAACGAUGUGGGAAGGCCCAGACAGCCAGGAUGUUGGCUUAGAAGCAGCCAUCAUUUAAAGAAAGCGUAAUAGCUCACUGGUCGAGUCGGCCUGCGCGGAAGAUGUAACGGGGCUAAACCAUGCACCGAAGCUGCGGCAGCGACGCUUAUGCGUUGUUGGGUAGGGGAGCGUUCUGUAAGCCUGUGAAGGUGGCCUGUGAGGGUUGCUGGAGGUAUCAGAAGUGCGAAUGCUGACAUAAGUAACGAUAAAGCGGGUGAAAAGCCCGCUCGCCGGAAGACCAAGGGUUCCUGUCCAACGUUAAUCGGGGCAGGGUGAGUCGACCCCUAAGGCGAGGCCGAAAGGCGUAGUCGAUGGGAAACGGGUUAAUAUUCCCGUACUUGGUGUUACUGCGAAGGGGGGACGGAGAAGGCUAUGUUGGCCGGGCGACGGUUGUCCCGGUUUAAGCGUGUAGGUGUGUGUUCCAGGUAAAUCCGGUUCACUUUAACACUGAGGCGUGAUGACGAGGCACUACGGUGCUGAAGCAACAAAUGCCCUGCUUCCAGGAAAAGCCUCUAAGCAUCAGGUAACAUCAAAUCGUACCCCAAACCGACACAGGUGGUCAGGUAGAGAAUACCAAGGCGCUUGAGAGAACUCGGGUGAAGGAACUAGGCAAAAUGGUGCCGUAACUUCGGGAGAAGGCACGCUGACACGUAGGUGAAGUGAUUUACUCAUGGAGCUGAAGUCAGUCGAAGAUACCAGCUGGCUGCAACUGUUUAUUAAAAACACAGCACUGUGCAAACACGAAAGUGGACGUAUACGGUGUGACGCCUGCCCGGUGCCGGAAGGUUAAUUGAUGG
This 1196-nucleotide ribosomal RNA is filed under the name Salmonella enterica subsp. enterica serovar Weltevreden. RNAcentral's name for it is "partial 23S ribosomal RNA". It matches the Rfam family "Bacterial large subunit ribosomal RNA", at positions 711 to 1887 of the family's 2925-position model. The record is from RNAcentral. Lineage: Bacteria; Pseudomonadati; Pseudomonadota; Gammaproteobacteria; Enterobacterales; Enterobacteriaceae.